GCACCCGUAGCUCAGGCGGAUAGAGCGAUCGUUUCCUAAACGAUGUCUUGCGGGGGUUCGAAUCCCUCCGGGUGCGCCA
This 79-nucleotide transfer RNA is filed under the name Tumebacillus algifaecis. RNAcentral's name for it is "tRNA-Arg". It matches the Rfam family "tRNA". From Rfam's summary of the family: Transfer RNA (tRNA) molecules are approximately 80 nucleotides in length. Their secondary structure includes four short double-helical elements and three loops (D, anti-codon, and T loops). Further hydrogen bonds mediate the characteristic L-shaped molecular structure. tRNAs have two regions of fundamental functional importance: the anti-codon, which is responsible for specific mRNA codon recognition, and the 3' end, to which the tRNAs corresponding amino acid is attached (by aminoacyl-tRNA synthetases). tRNAs cope with the degeneracy of the genetic code in two manners: having more than one tRNA (with a specific anti-codon) for a particular amino acid; and 'wobble' base-pairing, i.e. permitting non-standard base-pairing at the 3rd anti-codon position. Lineage: Bacteria; Bacillati; Bacillota; Bacilli; Caryophanales; Alicyclobacillaceae. The record is from RNAcentral.